UGUUUGUUCUUUCAAGAGUGGCGACGGGUGAGUCCACGUGGAUAACCUGCCUCAGGCUGGGGAUAACAUUUGGAAACAGAUGCUAAUACCGAAUAAUACUUACUAUCGCAUGAUACAACGUUGAAAGGCCCUACCCCCUCACCUAAAGAUGGGCCCGCGGUGCUUUAGUUAGUGGGGGGGGUAAAGGUCUACAAAGACAAUGAUGCUUAACCAAGUUGAAAGAUUGAUCGGUCACAUUGGAACUGAGACCCGGCCCCAUCUCCUACGGGAGGCUGCAGAAGGGAAUCUUCCCCAAUGGGCGAAAGCCUGAUGGACAACGCCGCGUGUGUGAUGAAGGCUUUAUGGUCGUAAAGCACUGUUGAAUGGAAAAAAAUGCUAGAAUAGGGAAUGAUUCUAGUUCGACGGUACCAUACCAGAAAGGGACGGCUAACUACCUGCCACCAUCCGCGGUAAUACUCAUGUCCCGAGCGUUAUCCGGAUUUAUUGGGCGUCAAGCGAGCGCAAAUGGUUGAUUAAGUCUGAUGUGAAAGCCCCGAGCUCAACUCCUGAAUGGCUUUGUAAAUUGGUUAAUUUGAGUGUUGUAAAGGUAAUGGAAACUCCUUGU
This 604-nucleotide ribosomal RNA is filed under the name Leuconostoc lactis. RNAcentral's name for it is "bacterial SSU rRNA". It matches the Rfam family "Bacterial small subunit ribosomal RNA", at positions 78 to 674 of the family's 1533-position model. The record is from RNAcentral. Lineage: Bacteria; Bacillati; Bacillota; Bacilli; Lactobacillales; Lactobacillaceae.